GGAUAAAAUGCAGGGACGGACUGAUGACGUAGGAGGGAGAGACGGAUAAAGUGCAGGGACGGACUGAUGACGUAGGAGGGAGAGACGGAUAAAGUGCAGGGACGGACUGAUGACGUAGGAAGGAGAAAGACAAAUUGCAGAAGUGGCAUUUUCAUGCAGGAGCGAGAGGAUGGGCUCUUGUGCACUAGUGAAGGUGUUGCCUUUGGAGAGGCGUCUGAGUAGUUUACCCACGGUAACGAGAAGGAAGAUGAUGAAGGGCUGGUUUGGCUCGCAGACGAGGGCUGGACAAACAGGGGGACUCACCUGCUCUUGACCUCAGUGGUUGAAGAUGAUUGAGAACUCGGGUAAUUCAAAAGACUCAUAAAGGUGAAAAUGUAAGCAAGACAAGGAACUAUUCAAGAGAUAUUAUACCUCCUCAGGGGCUAAAGCUGACAGCAUCCAGAACGAAACAGUCAUUCCAAUCCAAUAUGUCGAGCUCAUUAUAACCCCAGAAUGACCCGUUUUAUUUUCAUUCAAGAAAGAGUUACGGAGACAUUCUGCUGGCUCUGGGAGGAUGAGGGUCAGCGAAACAGCGAGGGGCCCUGACUUCACAGCUCUCCUCCUAGAGAGAUAGCUGUCACGAUGAAGCAAGUAAGUAUAGCAGGCCAUGUAAAAUGUUACCACAGCACAUGCUCAGAGAUCCAGGGGCUGUGAAUCCCAUCAGUGAAGAUACAACGUGACUGCGUAAGAACGACUGGCAGAAGGCCGGGGGAUUAGAGCAGAAACAAUAAAGGAAGGUAGCUCUCCAGGUUACUUACCGAGGGCCAGACAGGGGCGAGCUGAGUCAGGAAUACCGAGAGGCCACUGAAAGACGUGGGGGUAGACUAGCCUGUAAGAUCUGCGGCUCACAGAGAUGCCUGUGGCCACUGUACAGAGGACAGACUGGAGGGAUCAAGAGCAGACGAGAGGGAGCAACCUCAAUCAUCCAGUGAGACGAAGGGGCAGAUGCAUGGGGGCUGUAGCCAUGGUGACGCAGGAUCGUGGAGGCAGUGGGGAGUAACAGCCCCAAAGACAAACGUAGUAGACUGGACAGGGGGAGAUGAGGGAAAAGCUGUAUUUCUGACUCAAGAACUGGGCAGACAGUGGAGUCCUCCUUCAGAGACAGCACUGGAGAGAGCAUGAUUCGGGGAGGAAGCUGUUGACUUACAAGGCUUGAAUUAGAGAAUUCAACCAUUAAAUCUCCUCCCAGGCACAAGGUAUUUCUGUUUCAGUAACUCAUCUGGAGGUGGACUCUGUACAUGCUGUUUUAAUACAUGGGACUGUCAACUCGGAAACCUUCCCUUUAAAUCGGCCUGUAAAGGAGCUGAAAUGAAUUCAGUGGCCCUGCCUAAAAUAACGAGUUCCCCCACGAAAUCACUGCCCUAUAAAAUCUGACAGUAAGUAAGGGUGAUGUUGUGAAAUGGGCUGCUCAAAAGGCCAAACUCAUGGGGGGCCCCGCCCAAGCAGGUUGGUCAACCUAAAAUGACGCUGCCGUCUUGAUGGUGCCAUGAGAUGAAGGGGGAGGCCCCCACAGGGAGCCACGUGCUGAGGUUGUAAAUGACAGUUGUGUUGCGUCUGUACUUGCCUUUGUAGUUUUGACUUUAUUGCCACUGCUACA
Molecule: non-coding RNA, 1636 nt
Organism: Vicugna pacos (alpaca)
Lineage: Eukaryota; Metazoa; Chordata; Mammalia; Artiodactyla; Camelidae
Source: RefSeq, a predicted model, not a curated record